Quercus robur (English oak) is the source of this 560-nucleotide long non-coding RNA. RefSeq lists it as uncharacterized. The transcript has 3 exons. Lineage: Eukaryota; Viridiplantae; Streptophyta; Magnoliopsida; Fagales; Fagaceae. The record is from RefSeq and is a predicted model, not a curated record.
AAAAAAAAAAAAAAAAAGUGGAAACUCAUAAAAGAAUUGAAUCUAAGGCAAGAAUGUCAAGUGUUUCAAUAGUUUCAAUUUAAUGUACGUAUCAGGUUCCAUAGUGCUUGCAUUUUAUCUUUUUGUUAAUUGUGCAGAGUGCAGAAAGAACAGCUGAGCAACCCUGAAGUCCCGUCCAAUAACCAUCCAUGAAAUGUUAAAGGUUUGUGUUGUGUUGGAUCAAAGCCCAGCUUCUUGUCUUAACAAAGUGAGCUAGGACGAGAUGAUAAAAAUGGGUGACGAUGUCUCCAAACUAGCUACCAUGGGACUAUGGCCAUGUUUGAUGGGAAGACUUUCAAUGCUUAUCAAGACCUGGAGGGUUUAAUAACAAGAGGCUGACAAUGAGAUUGAAGGGGAGAAAGUUAACUAACUUGGGCAAAUCGACAGAAUUUCUAUCAUUCAUUACAGGUUUGCUAUCAUUCACUUUAUAGGUUUGCCAUUAUUCACACCCUUUACAUAUAUUUCUUUGCAUAUGUAUUUAUGGUUUUGGUUAUGGGGGGUCUUGUGAUGAUUGAUAUCAU